UACGUAGGGGGCAAGCGUUAUCCGGAUUUACUGGGUGUAAAGGGAGCGUAGACGGAAUUGCAAGUCUGAUGUGAAAAUUCGGGGCCCAACCCCGGAACUGCAUUGGAAACUGUAUUUCUAGAGUGUCGGAGAGGCAAGUGGAAUUCCUGGUGUAGCGGUGAAAUGCGUAGAUAUCAGGAGGAACACCAGUGGCGAAGGCGGCUUGCUGGACGAUGACUGACGUUGAGGCUCGAAAGCGCGGGGAGCAAACAGG
Molecule: ribosomal RNA, 253 nt
Filed under: uncultured bacterium
Lineage: Bacteria
Description: partial 16S ribosomal RNA
Rfam family: Bacterial small subunit ribosomal RNA
Source: RNAcentral